This 511-nucleotide ribosomal RNA is filed under the name Flavobacterium sp. FlavoEI_MT1r3CH4_E08_61. RNAcentral's name for it is "bacterial SSU rRNA". It matches the Rfam family "Bacterial small subunit ribosomal RNA", at positions 66 to 578 of the family's 1533-position model. Lineage: Bacteria; Pseudomonadati; Bacteroidota; Flavobacteriia; Flavobacteriales; Flavobacteriaceae. The record is from RNAcentral.
GGGGUAUAUGUCUUCGGAUAUAGAGACCGGCGCACGGGUGCGUAACGCGUAUGCAAUCUACCUUUCACAGAGGGAUAGCCCAGAGAAAUUUGGAUUAAUACCUCAUAGUAUUAUUGAGUGGCAUCACUUAAUAAUUAAAGUCACAACGGUGAAAGAUGAGCAUGCGUCCCAUUAGCUAGUUGGUAAGGUAACGGCUUACCAAGGCAACGAUGGGUAGGGGUCCUGAGAGGGAGAUCCCCCACACUGGUACUGAGACACGGACCAGACUCCUACGGGAGGCAGCAGUGAGGAAUAUUGGACAAUGGGCGCAAGCCUGAUCCAGCCAUGCCGCGUGCAGGAUGACGGUCCUAUGGAUUGUAAACUGCUUUUGUACGAGAAGAAACACUGCUUCGUGAAGCAGCUUGACGGUAUCGUAAGAAUAAGGAUCGGCUAACUCCGUGCCAGCAGCCGCGGUAAUACGGAAGAUCCAAGCGUUAUCCGGAAUCAUUGGGUUUAAAGGGUCCGUAGGCGG